This 119-nucleotide ribosomal RNA is filed under the name Lepisosteus oculatus (spotted gar). The record is from RNAcentral. Lineage: Eukaryota; Metazoa; Chordata; Actinopteri; Semionotiformes; Lepisosteidae.
CCCAGCAGCCAUAUCACACUGCAGCUCACAGCUGGCAGCCCACUGAAGCUCAGCAGGUGUGAGCCUGGUCAGUACCUGGAUGGGAGACCUCCUGGGAAACGCUAAGGUUGCUGCUGGAA